GGUUGUCACCAAAUCCAGGAGAGGUAUUUUCCAUUUUCUUUUAUCUUGAUUAUUAUUUUUUAUUAAUUUGGGUUAAUUAAUUAGGCUGUAAUUGACAAAUAUGAGCCUGUAAUUUUGCUGGAUUAGAUUGCCAAAGAUUUUAGCAUAUGUGGUGAUGCUUCAUGAUUGAUUCUUGGUAGUGGGAGAGAAGGAAUACCCACUUAGCAAUUGUAGUCUUUUUAGCUUUUGAUGACCUUAUCGUUAGCAUCUGCAAUACCUGGACCUAGCUUGGCUCUUAAGCAUAAAAAAGAACCCAAAUUUCUUACUAAAAUCCUUGAUUAUCCCAUCAUUGACCCACUUAGUGGAGAAUUAUAUUUAUUGAUCAUUUAUAUCUUCAUUCCAAACUAAUCCAAAACUAAAGGUGAACAUGGUUUUGGCACUUUCAAGGACUUGAUUUUGUGGUAAGAAUCCAAUGAGUUUCACCUAGCCUGAAAUGAUAGAAGCAUAUCAUUCGCUGGCAGACUCAAUAAUAAAGAAUCCAAUGAGUUUUAGCAGCAAGUCCACAUGCCUAUGAAGAGGGUACCCCAAUUAUUUGCAAGAGUUCUGUGGCCCUUUUCCACCGACAGGAGGAGGAUGAGCGAUCCAAGUGAUUAAUUGGUAUACUUGAUGAAAAAUCAACUAGUUUCCUAGCUGUGUUCCACACAUUCUCCUACCCCACCACAACUAAGAUGCUAACAAUAGCUAGCUGCAAUUAUUUAUUUAUUUAUUGCAUGUUUUAUUCUGUCUUCUCUGUUAAUUAAUACAACUGUGUGGUUAGUUCAUUGGUUUGUUUAGCAUUCAAUAAGCUCAAAUGGGUUGUUUGAUAAAUUUGUUUAACGUGCAGGGAAGCUAAUGGAAGUAGCUUG
Molecule: unclassified non-coding RNA, 884 nt
Filed under: Hevea brasiliensis (rubber tree)
Lineage: Eukaryota; Viridiplantae; Streptophyta; Magnoliopsida; Malpighiales; Euphorbiaceae
Source: RNAcentral